UACGUAGGGAGCGAGCGUUAUCCGGAUUUAUUGGGCGUAAAGCGUUCGUAGGCGACUUGUUAAGUAUGAAAUUAAAGCCCGAGGCUUAACCUCGGUUCGUUUCAUAAACUGACAGGAUUGAGUAUGGUAGAGGUAAGUGGAAUUUCUAGUGUAGCGGUGGAAUGCGUAGAUAUUAGAAGGAACACCAGUGGCGAAGGCGACUUACUGGGCCAUUACUGACGCUGAGGAACGAAAGCGUGGGGAGCAAAUAGG
RNAcentral lists this ribosomal RNA (252 nucleotides) under uncultured bacterium. Its description in RNAcentral is "partial 16S ribosomal RNA". It matches the Rfam family "Bacterial small subunit ribosomal RNA", at positions 524 to 776 of the family's 1533-position model. The record is from RNAcentral.